AAUAAUGCUUGUAUCAUCAAAACAUUAUUGGGGUUCAUUUCCAACUUACAAUUUUAGUAGCUCAGCAGAAGCUGGGCUAUGAGAAAAUAACAGCCUCUGUCUUGGUGCACUGAUGUUCUGGAGAAGCACCACACAAUAUGAAGCAUGUCUAAGUGUGUCAAAACAAGAGAAUUAUAUUUGACAAGUGAGGAGAAAAGAAAGAGUACGAUCAAAAAUAAAAGAAGACAGGCCUUCUUUUAUUAAGAAGGCGUUUUUCAUUUACUUGCUUUAUGGAUCAGGAAAUGAACAGCUUGAAGCCUACAUACCACUUUGAUUACAAAAGCAAGCAAGGAGCAAAACAAACAUCAUCCACCUAUUUAUUGAUGUCUGGCCUUUCCAACUGCAGAUUUUUUGAAAAAUCAGUCUUUUUUCAAAGUACUGUAUAUUCAAGCCAAAGCAACAAAAGUUGUCCAAACCGAGCAGAGAUUAACAGGCAUCCAAGAAGCAACACCCACUUAUCCUUUUGCUACAGAGAUAAUAUACAGUGAUAUAAAAACAGAGUCUGACAUUGCUGCAGAGAAACAAACAGGCAAACAGUGGCCAUUUUUCUAUUUUCUGGUUGGAAGGGGCCUAUAAAACCAUUGAGCCCCAUCUCCUGCUCAAUACAGGAAUCCCAAUAGAAGUAUAUCUGGCAGAUGGUUAUCUAAUUUUCUCUUGAAUGCCUCUAGUGUUUGGAGCACUUGCUGCCUCUAAUUGGUUCCACUGCCAUACUGAUCUAACAGUUGGGAAUGUUUUUUUUUAAGAUUCAACCAAAAUCAGGCUUUCUGAUUAUCAGUAUGGGGCAUUAGCCUAUGAUUUUGAGGGGGCCUAUUCCAAGAGAGUUAAGGGGCAUCCUUUAGUACUAAAUAUUAAAAUCUGAAAGAAGAUUAACACAGAGAGAAUACAAAGAAACAAAUGCAGAUAACAGAAACCAACUCUGUGUUAAAUUUAAGUGACAAUUCAUGGAAAACAAGGGGGUACAGAAAUUUUUUUUGACAAGACUGUCUUUAAGAAGAAAAGUGACAACUGCAAUUUCUCCAGUUGUGGAAAUCAUAUUCUGAAUCUUUUUGGUACGGAUUGUACUGAAGUCUGCAGUGAAGCUGUAACAUUCUUUGGAAUCAUACAGAAAAUGUUCAGUAUAUUCAGUUCAAGUCCCCAGCAGUGGGAGAUACUGAAAGAACAUCUUCCAGUCUUACUGUAACCACCACCUCCUUUCUCUGUAACCAACAAAACUUGUGACAAAUAUACACAAUAAAUUGCACUGAAAUAAUAGAUUGCUACA
Molecule: long non-coding RNA, 1300 nt
Filed under: Pogona vitticeps (central bearded dragon)
Lineage: Eukaryota; Metazoa; Chordata; Lepidosauria; Squamata; Agamidae
Description: lncRNA (ENSPVIG00000024115.1)
Source: RNAcentral